Molecule: long non-coding RNA, 1392 nt
Filed under: Cyanistes caeruleus (blue tit)
Lineage: Eukaryota; Metazoa; Chordata; Aves; Passeriformes; Paridae
Description: lncRNA (ENSCCEG00000002576.1)
Source: RNAcentral
CAGGAUGCAGCUCUCUGCAGCCUCAACCAGCCACCACCGGCCCCGGCAUAUUCGCUCCAGCCUCUCACAGAGCCAGGGCCGCACAGCCUCCAGGAGAUGCUGGUUUUGUUGGAAUAGUCCAGCCCACUCCUCAGGCAGGAGGCCACUCACACGCUCUGGCCCUGCAGGCCCCUGCUCAUCUGGGGGCAGUGUUCCCUGUGGAGAAGAUGGAGGGGACACCUCAGGGCCAUGGAUGCUGUUUUCUUCCACGUGACUGGAAGCUCUCCCUGCCAUGCUAUGGGCUUCUGGUGAUUCUGCAGGGGUGGUGAUGACCAACUCUACGUAGUCCCAUUCAUCCUGCUCAGAAAACCUGAUGGUCUCUAUCGGUGUCCUGCAGAGUGGGCAUGAGGGAUUUCUGUGUGUCCACCGCAGGAUGCAGCCCAGGCAGAAUUGGUGGUGACAGGGCAGAGCAGAAGCCACGUCUUUCCAGGAGUCCUGGCAGAUGGGACAGUUGCUGUCUCUCUCCGUGGCCAUUUCUGUCUCAAGCCAGACUGGCCCAGGUUCUGCUGACAUCCAGAUAUAAGCAGUGAGAUGUCACAAUAAAUCCCCAUGAGAUGUCACAAUCUGAUACUCAGUGAUGCUACUAUCCAUGAGUCAGUGAAAUCACAAUGAGAUGUCCACCUCUGCAGACAUACAGGAGAAAAUGAAAAUAUCAAUUUUUUUUUUCAGUCUCUACACCUUCAUGUUGCUCUACCUGAGCCACCAGCAUCACAUGUCCUUGGCUCUGUGUCUCAUCCACACUCCUGACACCUUGCCAAGGUUUCCUGGGAGGUGGUGGUGCCACUCUGCAAGGGUAGAUCUGUCUUUUCUCACUGUGCUCCCAAAUCCACUCAUCUGCAGUGUGGAGGGAGCUGUAAAUCUGUGCAGCCAGGCUCCCAGCAGGGCCCUCUCUGCCUUCCUGAUUUGUGGGGUUUUCCCACAGCUCAUGGGAACUGACCAAUCAGGUCACUGCCGCUGCUCCCCAACGUGGCGCACCACCAAUCUCGGUAUGCAAAUGAGGCAAAAACGGUUAUGAGUGCUGAGAGACCCCCUAGAUCAAGCAAACCAGAUGCAGGAGAGACAAAAGCCUCGUAGCCUAACCGUCAGAGAGACCAGGAUGUUCCUAGCCUUGACUCAGAAUCCUCGCCAUCACCACAAAAGUGAUUGACCGGGAUGACACCCCUACACAAAUGAGCCAUGAGAGGUCUUCCAUGGUACUCCCUUGAGGACAGAAGCCCAGGCCUGCUGACAAGACAAUUGACAGGACUGAAACACCUCCUUCCUGGUGACCUUGUGGGAACAGCGGCAGCAUGCUCAGCCUCCUGAGCCCCCACCCUGGAGCUGGUAACUCAAUAAAGGCACAAAAAGGACUCA